UACGUAGGGUGCGAGCGUUGUCCGGAAUUAUUGGGCGUAAAGAGCUUGUAGGCGGUCUGUCGCGUCUGCUGUGAAAAUCCGGGGCUCAACCCCGGACUUGCAGUGGGUACGGGCAGACUAGAGUGUGGUAGGGGAGACUGGAAUUCCUGGUGUAGCGGUGAAAUGCGCAGAUAUCAGGAGGAACACCGAUGGCGAAGGCAGGUCUCUGGGCCAUUACUGACACUGAGAAGCGAAAGCAUGGGGAGCGAACAGG
This 253-nucleotide ribosomal RNA is filed under the name uncultured bacterium. RNAcentral's name for it is "partial 16S ribosomal RNA". It matches the Rfam family "Bacterial small subunit ribosomal RNA", at positions 524 to 776 of the family's 1533-position model. The record is from RNAcentral.